RNAcentral lists this ribosomal RNA (253 nucleotides) under uncultured bacterium. Its description in RNAcentral is "partial 16S ribosomal RNA". It matches the Rfam family "Bacterial small subunit ribosomal RNA", at positions 524 to 776 of the family's 1533-position model. The record is from RNAcentral.
GACAGAGGGUGCAAACGUUGUUCGGAAUUACUGGGCGUAAAGCGCGUGUAGGCGGCUCUGCAAGUCGGAUGUGAAAGCCCUGGGCUCAACCUAGGAAGUGCACUCGAAACUGCAGAGCUUGAGUCUCGGAGAGGAUCGCGGAAUUCUCGGUGUAGAGGUGAAAUUCGUAGAUAUCGAGAGGAACACCGGUGGCGAAGGCGGCGAUCUGGACGAUGACUGACGCUGAGACGCGAAAGCCAGGGGAGCAAACGGG